AUUGAACGCUGGCGGCAUGCUUUACACAUGCAAGUCGAACGGCAGCGCGGGCUUCGGCCUGGCGGCGAGUGGCGAACGGGUGAGUAAUGCAUCGGAACGUGCCCAGUAGUGGGGGAUAGCCCGGCGAAAGCCGGAUUAAUACCGCAUACGACCUGCGGGUGAAAGCGGGGGACCGAAAGGCCUCGCGCUAUUGGAGCGGCCGAUGCCGGAUUGGCUAGUUGGUGGGGUAAAGACUUACCAAGUCGACGAUCCGUUGCUGGUCUGAGAGGACGACCGGCCACACUGGGACUGAGACGCGGCCCAGGGUCCUACGGGAGGCAGCAGUGGGGAAUUUUGGGCAGUGGGGGCGACCCUGGUCCAGCGGGGCCGCGUGCGAGAAGACGGCCUUCGGGUUGUAAUCCGCUUUUUUUCGGGAUGAAAUCCUCUGGGCUAAGACCCCGGGGGAGUGACGGUACCGGAAGAAUAAGCACCGGCUAACUACGUG
This 484-nucleotide ribosomal RNA is filed under the name uncultured bacterium. RNAcentral describes it as "partial 16S ribosomal RNA". It matches the Rfam family "Bacterial small subunit ribosomal RNA", at positions 28 to 507 of the family's 1533-position model. The record is from RNAcentral.